UCCCAGACUCCUACGGGAGGCAGCAGCGGGGAAUAUUGCACAAUGGGGGAAACCCUGAUGCAGCGACGCCGCGUGAGCGAUGAAGUAUUUCGGUAUGUAAAGCUCUAUCAGCAGGGAAGAAAAUGACGGUACCUGACUAAGAAGCCCCGGCUAACUACGUGCCAGCAGCCGCGGUAAUACGUAGGGGGCAAGCGUUAUCCGGAUUUACUGGGUGUAAAGGGAGCGUAGACGGCAAUGCAAGCCAGAUGUGAAAGCCCGGGGCUCAACCCCGGGACUGCAUUUGGAACUGUGUAGCUGGAGUGUCGGAGAGGCAGGCGGAAUUCCUAGUGUAGCGGUGAAAUGCGUAGAUAUUAGGAGGAACACCAGUGGCGAAGGCGGCCUGCUGGACGAUGACUGACGUUGAGGCUCGAAAGCGUGGGGAGCAAACAGGAUUAGAUACCCCGGUAC
This 447-nucleotide ribosomal RNA is filed under the name uncultured bacterium. RNAcentral's name for it is "partial 16S ribosomal RNA". It matches the Rfam family "Bacterial small subunit ribosomal RNA", at positions 329 to 793 of the family's 1533-position model. The record is from RNAcentral.